Molecule: long non-coding RNA, 489 nt
Filed under: Malus domestica (apple)
Lineage: Eukaryota; Viridiplantae; Streptophyta; Magnoliopsida; Rosales; Rosaceae
Description: long non-coding RNA (MDOM_LNC020651)
Source: RNAcentral
CUUUGGGCAGCUCGCAGAGACGCAAGGAAGGAGAGGCAGCACCAGGAGGAAUUCAGCUGCUUGGGCAGUAUGAAAAGGGAAGUCAAAGGAGGCUUGAAGCGUGACACGGGGAGCAUAGGGGAGAGAGCUGCCCUUGGCAGCUGGUAGUGAGUACAGGCGCAGGAAAUGAGGGAGAGACCAGCAGAAAAAGGGGGAAAAGUUGCGGCUGGCAGCUUGAAGAAGAAGGGAAGGCUGCACCUUGCAGCGUGUCAAGUGCAGAACAGAGAACAAACAGCUGCCUUGGCAGCUUUGUUGAGAGCAGAACCCGCGCAGCACCGAGGUGGACAGAAGCUGCAAGCCUCUUCUCUCUCGGUUAAAUCUUUCCAACUUAUAUUUUACUUUUGGUUUAUUUGUGUUUUAAUAAUGUGUAACUAAUUUUAGUUUGGCUAGAGGUUAAUUCAAAGCCAUGAAUAUAUUUGUAAUAUGAAUUGAUUACCUUCAGUUGUGAUU